GACGAACGCUGGCGGCGUGCUUAACACAUGCAAGUCGAACGGAAGGGCCCUGCUUUUGUGUGGUUCUCGAUUGGCGAGCGGGUGAGUAAAACGUGAGUAACCUCCCCUUAACUUUGUGAUAACUUCUCGGGACAGGGGCUAAUACACGAGAGAAUCUCUUGCUGCGUAGUGGGGGAUAGAAAAAUUCGGCCUUUGUGGCUGUACUCGCGGGGUAUCAGCUUGUUGGUGUGGUAGUGGAUUACAAAGGCUUUGACGGGUAGCCGACGUGAGAGGGCGAUCGGCGACACUGGAACUGAGACACGGUCAAGGCGCCUACGGGAGGCAGCAGUAGGGAAUCUUCCGCAGUGGGCGAGAGCCUGGCGGAGCAACGCCGCGUGAGAGAUGAAGGUCUUCGGAUCGUGAAACUCUGUUAUUAGGGAAGAACAGAUGUGUAAGUAACUGUGCACAUCGUGACGGUAACGAAUCAGAAAGCCACGGCUAACUACGUG
Molecule: ribosomal RNA, 488 nt
Filed under: uncultured bacterium
Lineage: Bacteria
Description: partial 16S ribosomal RNA
Rfam family: Bacterial small subunit ribosomal RNA
Source: RNAcentral